UUUGAAACAACAUUUCACACCUUAAAUAUUUUGAACACAAGCUUAAAGGGCUUUGUUACUUGCCCGAUUUGCAUUUUAUAAACACUGAAUUCCAAUUAAAUAGUUUAGUGAGAUCGGUGAAAGUUCAUCGCGUGUUUACUCAUGGCGCACACACGCUUUCUUGUCUAUUUUGCGUGUACUUUCAAUUUAGUUUCUGCACAGGUUCUGAAGUAUGCACUCAGGGGUCAAGAAAUAAACUUGGUUCCACCCAGAAUUGAAAAACCUGAUGGAAUGGUCUGGGUACAUGAUGACAGCAACGUGGUCGAGUUUCAUAUCUUCGCGAGGGAAUUAGUGUACCCACCAUACCAGAACAGGAUCACUCUCGACCACAACUCUGCAGAACUCACCAUCAAAGACGCCACAAAUGAAGACAGUGGAAACUACGACUUAAAGUUGAAGAAAAACGAUGAACGUCGCCGUAUAAAAUUUAGAGUUGAGGUUAUAGACAAAGUAACCAAGCCCAACAUAUCCUGUGAGAUGAUCAACGCAAACCAGGCGAUACUUGUGUGCUCAACAGAGUGCAAAUGUCCACAUUUACUAAAGUUUAAGUGGCGCUCACAGGGAAACGAGCAGGCUGGCCCGAACUUAACAAUAACUCUAAACAAUGAACACGAUGAUCAAGUUUAUCAAUGUAAUGUGAGCAACCCGCUGACCAGUGAAACAUCUACAUACACUGCUAAGGACUGCUUCCUCGAAAAAACAUCAGCUGCUGGAAUUUUCAUCUGGGAUGAAAACACAACGGAUUUGUUUGUCUUCACAGUGGUUACGGCGGUCAGCUUCACUGCUGUCCUCACUGCUGGCCUCACUGCUGCUGUCCUCACUGCUGUCUUCAUGUCAGUUAAAAAGUUUCAAUUUUCAGAAUGUUUUGCAAAGCUCAAGGAAAAAUGCUCGAUAAGAAACUGGAGGGACUGAGGAAACCGCUGGAGAAAAUGUCAAGACUCAUGUCAUUGCACUCAUGGAUCGAGGACAACAAUCAUAAAAAGCAAAACCUGGACAGUCGCAUUAUCAAACAAGACAAAAAGCAAUGGCACAUCCUGCCACACUCUGACACACGAACACAAAAGUUACCUCAUUCACUGCCAUUGAUGUUAAAGACCAUGUGAAGUGAUUUCGGUGAUUUGUUUCUUAUUAAUUUAACUAUGUUAGAUAAGUGCUUUUGUAUUUUUUGUAUUUUUUCUUUUUACUAUUGCUCUUGCACUCUCUCUGAGGUACAGGGUUCAAAUCCUCACCUGUGUGGAGUUUGCAUGUUCCCGCUGUGUCUGUGUGGGUUUUGUCUGGGUAACCGACAUUUAAAAAAAAACAUGCAGGGUAGGUUGAUUGAAGACUCUAAAAUGCCCAUAGGUGUGAGUGUGAAUGGUUGUUUGUCAAUAUGUGCCCCUACGAUUGACUGGCGAGCAGUUCAUGGUGGACCCCACGUCCCGCCUAGAGUCAGCUGAGAUAGACCCCAGCACACCCGCGACCCUCAUGAGGAUAAGCAGGUCGAGCUUAUCCUAUAAGAAGGGUCAGCGAAGGCGACUGCCUGAGCAACGAAAUGAAAAUGUGGAAUAUUAUGCACUGACAACUGAUCUAUGGCCAUCAACAAUGACUGGACACUAACUAGCCGACGCCUACAGAUAAGCUACUUUCCUGAAGAGCCAACGGUGACAAACAUGGUCACAGCCCUAAGAGAAGGAAUUCAAUUCUGGGAGCUGCGUGUGACCUCAAGAAAAGGGGACCAAGCUGCAAUGAUACUCUGUUGCCAGUAGGGGGCAGUGUUUAUCAGCUUCUACACAUCAACACGAGCCUCACGUGUAUGAAUUAUUAGCUUCAAAUGAAAUACAUGUACACAUUAACCAACAACAAUAAAUAAUUCAACACUGCCGUUUGACCAAACCAUCUUGUGUGUCUGUAGCCCUUUACAGUGAAAUUUACCAGCACACUAAACCCAACCGUGCACGAAGACGUCAGCUUCCUGACUAUCUUCAAAGUCAAAUCUGGAUCUCUAAACGCUAAAACACAAAUCCGUGGCGUGGGGUGGAAUAAACGUGCGUGACUAAGUACACAAAUGUCGACAUAUUUAGCUCACCCGUGUGCUAUGAUUGGCGUUUAUUAGACGGUAGCGGUCCGGUUUAAUUCCAGACUCUGGUUUAUUGUGAAAAUCGACUGCUCCUGAAAUGCAGGUGUCGCAUUACCUGGGUUGAACUUUUUUUUUUUUUUUUUUUUUUUUGAAACAACAUUUCACACCUUAAAUAUUUUGAACACAAGCUUAAAGGGCUUUGUUACUUGCCCGAUUUGCAUUUUAUAAACACUGAAUUCCAAUUAAAUAGUUUAGUGAGAUCGGUGAAAGUUCAUCGCGUGUUUACUCAUGGCGCACCAACGCUUUCUUGUCUAUUUUGCGUGUACUUUCAGUUUAGGUAAGUUUCGCCGUGAUUUAUGAUAUUGGAGUUGAAAAUCAACAAAGUAUUAUUAGUUAUGUAGCGUCUCGAACUUUGGUGGGUGUACAAACAAUUGUUGUUGUUUCUGGGUGUUGUUGAUAAAUGGCUUUCGCUUUUCAUAGUUGAGUUUCAAGUUGCACUUAACGGAUGAAGGUGCAACUUGAAAGUCGGAAGGAAGGAAGUCGGAAUUCGAUCAAUCUGAUGUGUCUAUAGUGCAUUCUUUUCAUCUAUCUGCCUAUCUAUCUCCUUCAUAGUUUCUCCACAGGUUCUGAAGUAUGUACUCAGGGGUCAAGAAAUAAACUUGGUUCCACCCAGAAUUGAAAAACCUGAUGGAAUGGUCUGGGUACAUGAUGACAGCAACGUGGUCGAGUUUCAUAUCUUCGCGAGGGAAUUAGUGUACCCACCAUACCAGAACAGGAUCACUCUCGACCACAACUCUGCAGAACUCACCAUCAAAGACGCCACAAAUGAAGACAGUGGAAACUACGACUUAAAGUUGAAGAAAAACGAUGAACGUCGCCGUAUAAAAUUUAGAGUUGAGGUUAUAGACAAAGUAACCAAGCCCAACAUAUCCUGUGAGAUGAUCAACGCAAACCAGGCGAUACUUGUGUGCUCAACAGAGUGCAAAUGUCCACAUUUACUAAAGUUUAAGUGGCGCUCACAGGGAAACGAGCAGGCUGGCCCGAACUUAACAAUAACUCUAAACAAUGAACACGAUGAUCAAGUUUAUCAAUGUAAUGUGAGCAACCCGCUGACCAGUGAAACAUCUACAUACACUGCUAAGGACUGCUUCCUCG
This is an RNA transcript of Phyllopteryx taeniolatus (common seadragon), 3250 nucleotides long. It is a transcript of the gene named CD48 antigen-like, with no coding region annotated. The record is from RefSeq and is a predicted model, not a curated record. Lineage: Eukaryota; Metazoa; Chordata; Actinopteri; Syngnathiformes; Syngnathidae. The transcript has 6 exons.